AUUGAACGCUGGCGGCAGGCCUAACACAUGCAAGUCGAGCGGAUGAAGGGAGCUUGCUCCUGGAUUCAGCGGCGGACGGGUGAGUAAUGCCUAGGAAUCUGCCUGGUAGUGGGGGAUAACGUCCGGAAACGGGCGCUAAUACCGCAUACGUCCUGCGGGAGAAAGUGGGGGAUCUUCGGACCUCACGCUAUCAGAUGAGCCUAGGUCGGAUUAGCUAGUUGGUGGGGUAAAGGCCUACCAAGGCGACGAUCCGUAACUGGUCUGAGAGGAUGAUCAGUCACACUGGAACUGAGAAACGGUCCAGACUCCUACGGGAGGCAGCAGUGGGGAAUAUUGGACAAUGGGCGAAAGCCUGAUCCAGCCAUGCCGCGUGUGUGAAGAAGGUCUUCGGAUUGUAAAGCACUUUAAGUUGGGAGGAAGGGCAGUAAGUUAAUACCUUGCUGUUUUGACGUUACCAACAGAAUAAGCACCGGCUAACUUCGUG
This 484-nucleotide ribosomal RNA is filed under the name uncultured bacterium. Its description in RNAcentral is "partial 16S ribosomal RNA". It matches the Rfam family "Bacterial small subunit ribosomal RNA", at positions 30 to 507 of the family's 1533-position model. The record is from RNAcentral.